AGAGUUUGAUCCUGGCUCAGGACAAACGCUGGCGGCGUGCCUAAUGCAUGCAAGUCGGACGGGCUCUUUUCGGAGGGUCAGUGGCGAACGGGUGAGUAACGCGUGGGUGACCUGUCCAGAAGUGGGGGAUAACCUCUCGAAAGGGGGGCUAAUACCGCAUGUGCUGCCCUGUUUUGGUGGGGCAGCAAAGCCUUCGGGUGUUUCUGGAGGGGCCUGCGUCCGAUUAGCUAGUUGGUGGGGUAAAGGCCUACCAAGGCGAUGAUCGGUAGCCGGUCUGAGAGGAUGGUCGGCCACACUGGGACUGAGACACGGCCCAGACUCCUACGGGAGGCAGCAGCAAGGGAUAUUGCGCAAUGGGCGAAAGCCUGACGCAGCGACGCCGCGUGGGUGAAGAAGGCCUUCGGGUCGUAAAGCCCUUUUGCCAGGGAAGAGUGAGGACGGUACCUGGCGAAUAAGCCCCGGCUAACUACGUGCCAGCCGCCGCGGUAAUAC
Molecule: ribosomal RNA, 492 nt
Filed under: uncultured bacterium
Lineage: Bacteria
Description: bacterial SSU rRNA
Rfam family: Bacterial small subunit ribosomal RNA
Source: RNAcentral